GAAGCGGCAACAGCUCAAAUUUGAAAUCUGGCGCAAGCCCGAGUUGUAAUUUGUAGAGGAUGCUUCUAGGUAGCGACCGGUCUAAGUUCCUUGGAACAGGACGUCAUAGAGGGUGAGAAUCCCGUAUGUGACCGGCCCGCACCUUCUACGUAGCUCCUUCGACGAGUCGAGUUGUUUGGGAAUGCAGCUCUAAAUGGGAGGUAAAUUUCUUCUAAAGCUAAAUACCGGCCAGAGACCGAUAGCGCACAAGUAGAGUGAUCGAAAGAUGAAAAGCACUUUGGAAAGAGAGUUAAAAAGCACGUGAAAUUGUUGAAAGGGAAGCGCUCACAACCAGACUUCUGGGCGGUGUUCCGCCGGUCUUCUGACCGGUCUACUCACCGUCCCGAGGCCAACAUCAUCUGGGACCGCCGGAUAAGACCUUAGGAAUGUAGCUCCCCUCGGGGAGUGUUAUAGCCUGUGGUGAUGCGGCGCGUCUCGGGUGAGGUCCGCGCUUCGGCAAGGAUGUUGGCGUAAUGGUUGUCAGCGGCCCGUCUUGAAACACGGACCAAGGAGUCUAACAUCUAUGCGAGUGUUCGGGUGUCAAACCCCUACGCGUAAUGAAAGUGAACGGAGGUGGGAAGGGUAACCUGCACCAUCGACCGAUCCUGAUGUCCUCGGAUGGAUUUGAGUAAGAGCAUAGCUGUUGGGACCCGAAAGAUGGUGAACUAUGCCUGAAUAGGGUGAAGCCAGAGGAAACUCUGGUGGAGGCUCGCAGCGGUUCUGACGUGCAAAUCGAUCGUCAAAUUUGGGUAUAGGGGCGAAAGACUA
This 807-nucleotide ribosomal RNA is filed under the name Ramularia eucalypti. RNAcentral's name for it is "eukaryotic LSU rRNA". It matches the Rfam family "Eukaryotic large subunit ribosomal RNA", at positions 95 to 933 of the family's 3401-position model. Lineage: Eukaryota; Fungi; Ascomycota; Dothideomycetes; Mycosphaerellales; Mycosphaerellaceae. The record is from RNAcentral.